Molecule: ribosomal RNA, 301 nt
Filed under: uncultured bacterium
Lineage: Bacteria
Description: partial 16S ribosomal RNA
Rfam family: Bacterial small subunit ribosomal RNA
Source: RNAcentral
CAGUCGCCGCGGGAAUACAGAGGUCUCAAGCGUUGUUCGGAUUCAUUGGGCGUAAAGGGUGCGUAGGUGGCGGUGUAAGUCUAACGUGAAAUCUCGGGGCUCAACCUCGAAAUUGCGUCGGAUACUGCAUUGCUAGAGGAUUGUAGAGGAGAGUGGAAUUCAUGGUGUAGCAGUGAAAUGCGUAGAUAUCAUGAGGAAGACCAGUUGCGAAGGCGACUCUCUGGGCAAUUCCUGACACUGAGGCACGAAGGCUAGGGGAGCAAACGGGAUUAGAUACCCGCGUAGUCCCUGUCUCUUAUAC